Long non-coding RNA from Poecilia latipinna (sailfin molly), 362 nucleotides. RefSeq lists it as uncharacterized. The record is from RefSeq and is a predicted model, not a curated record. NCBI's taxonomy places the organism in Eukaryota, Metazoa, Chordata, Actinopteri, Cyprinodontiformes, Poeciliidae. The transcript is spliced from 4 exons.
CAGGAUGUUUGUCCUCCUUCAACAACAGCGCACAGUGGCUGACCGACAACUUCGGUCCAUUCUCAGAGUUUGUGCUCAUCAGUGAGCUGAUCCAUCUCAACCGACUCUUCAAACCACUGGAGGCCUUACAGCUCCUCACACAGGAUCAGAUUGCAGAGCUGCUGAGACUGAUGCUUCCUGAAAACACAGAUGUUGUCAUCAAUACUCUCUUUGAUUACAUGAUCGAAGCACCAGAGAGCAGUUUCAUAGGGUUCCUGUCAUCCCUCGUGAGAUUCACCGAGACGGGAAGUAUUUUCCUUUCCUGCCCAUCCUACAGAACACUGUUCACCAGACUGGAUGACGCCAUGGCAACAGCUUCUUCU